UUGAUACGCCGUAAGAAAAAUACAGCCUCUCUUCCAUCAAUCAGCCUGUGAUCAUACGUCAAUGCUAUGUACAUCAUUGGCCUUGGGACUAUGUUGCCCUCAACAACCAUUGGUCGGUUGACGAUAGAGUGCAUGCCCAAGAUAGCAGACUGGGGAGGGUUGAUAAUUGGUGUACUCAAAAGGCUUCCAUAAACACCACCAUUAGAUAUUGUGAAUGUACCUCCAGCCAUCUCAUCAAUUGAUAUAGAACCAUCAUUUGCUUUCUUAGCUAGAGUGUUGAUCUCCUUCUCUAUCUCCGCAAAGUUCAUACUACCAGCAUCACGGAUAACUGGAACAACAAGACCCUUUGGAGUGCCAACAGCAAUGCUAAUAUCAAUGUAAUCUCUAUAUAUGAUAUCAUCUCCAUCAAUGACAGCAUUUACAACUGGUUGGUACUGAAGUGCGCUAACUGCAGCUUUGACAAAUCCUGACAUAAAUCCCAAUUUCACUCCAUGUUUUUCCACAAAUGCAUCUUUAUAAUCAGAGCGGAGCUUCAUCAAGUUUGUCAUAUCAACC
This 555-nucleotide unclassified non-coding RNA is filed under the name Hevea brasiliensis (rubber tree). Lineage: Eukaryota; Viridiplantae; Streptophyta; Magnoliopsida; Malpighiales; Euphorbiaceae. The record is from RNAcentral.